AUGCAUCACUAUCAUGAUGUGGAAUCCAUGUUAUACCACUUUGUUCACUCGAUAAUUCAGAUAUCCAAUCUGAUAACCAUGUUUCAUAUGGAGAGCUUGGCAAGGCAAAGUCCGAUAAACAGAGAUCAUCAGACACUCAUAUCAUCACCAUCCUGAAAGAAAAGACCCUGUUGGGCCCUUUUCGAUGUACAUUGCAAGUUUCCAGCAGAUGCAGCAUCACCAUCUUGAAUUUGUGCUUUCUUCACUAAAUGUGUCCUCCAGUAGUUCUUGAUCUCAUUAUCAGUUCUUCCUGGCAACACUCUUGCAAUCUUUGACCACCUGCAGAAAAGAUAUGUGACCAUGCUUAAGAUCGGGGCGGAGAUAGUUCAACCACCGCAACCUGCAACUCCUACCACUUCUCCUUAGACCUGCAACACGUGAACAGCUUCUCAGUUUACUUGUUGAAUACAAGCACAAAAUCUGCAUAUCUCCUACUUUCAGUAGGAAUCACCAUACGUACCUGAU
This is a long non-coding RNA of Rosa chinensis, 504 nucleotides long. RefSeq lists it as uncharacterized. The record is from RefSeq and is a predicted model, not a curated record. Lineage: Eukaryota; Viridiplantae; Streptophyta; Magnoliopsida; Rosales; Rosaceae. The transcript is spliced from 3 exons.